This 503-nucleotide ribosomal RNA is filed under the name uncultured bacterium. Its description in RNAcentral is "bacterial SSU rRNA". It matches the Rfam family "Bacterial small subunit ribosomal RNA", at positions 19 to 518 of the family's 1533-position model. The record is from RNAcentral.
AUGGCUCAGGAUGAACGCUGGCGGCGUGCCUAACACAUGCAAGUCGAACGGGUUAAGGGAAAUUUCGGAUGGAACUUAGCUUAGUGGCGGACGGGUGAGUAACGCGUGGAUAACCUGCCUCACACUGGGGGAUAGCAGCUGGAAACGGCUGGUAAUACCGCAUAAGACCACGGUGCCGCAUGGCACAGGGGUAAAAGAUUUAUCGGUGUGAGAUGGAUCCGCGUCUGAUUAGCCAGUUGGCGGGGUAACGGCCCACCAAAGCGACGAUCAGUAGCCGGCCUGAGAGGGUGAACGGCCACACUGGGACUGAGACACGGCCCAAACUCCUACGGGAGGCAGCAGUGGGGAAUAUUGCACAAUGGGCGCAAGCCUGAUGCAGCAACGCCGCCGUGAGUGAAGAAGUAUUUCGGUAUGUAAAGCUCUAUCGGCAGGGAAGAAAGGCCUGAAAGGGAGAUGACGGUACCUGACUAAGAAGCCCCGGCUAACUACGUGCCAGCAGCAGC